Molecule: ribosomal RNA, 217 nt
Filed under: uncultured eukaryote
Lineage: Eukaryota
Also listed under: 1 other name
Description: partial small subunit ribosomal RNA
Rfam family: Eukaryotic small subunit ribosomal RNA (bases 50-217)
Source: RNAcentral
GACCUGGCUGGGCGGUCUUGGCUCACGUCAAGCACUGCCUCUGGUCGGGUCUUUCCUUCUGGGGAACCUACGUGCUAUUAAUUUAGUGCGCAGGGGAUCCAGGACUUUUACUUUGAAAAAAUUAGAGUGUUUAAAGCAGGCUUUCGCUUGAAUACAUUAGCAUGGAAUAAUAGAAUAGGACUUUGGUUCUAUUUUGUUGGUUUCUAGGACCGAAGUA